This 497-nucleotide ribosomal RNA is filed under the name uncultured bacterium. RNAcentral describes it as "partial 16S ribosomal RNA". It matches the Rfam family "Bacterial small subunit ribosomal RNA", at positions 28 to 507 of the family's 1533-position model. The record is from RNAcentral.
GAUGAACGCUGGCGGCGUGCCUAAUACAUGCAAGUCGAGCGAACAGAUGAGGAGCUUGCUCCUCUGACGUUAGCGGCGGACGGGUGAGUAACACGUGGAUAACCUACCUAUAAGACUGGGAUAACUUCGGGAAACCGGAUCUAAUACCGGAUAAUAUAUUGAACCGCAUGGUUCAAUAGUGAAAGACGGUUUUGCUGUCACUUAUAUAUGUAUCCGCGCCGCAUUAGCUAGUUGGUAAGGUAACGGCUUACCAAGGCAACGAUGCGUAGCCGACCUGAGAGGGUGAUCGGCCACACUGGAACUGAGACACGGUCCAGACUCCUACGGGAGGCAGCAGUAGGGAAUCUUCCGCAAUGGGCGAAAGCCUGACGGAGCAACGCCGCGUGAGUGAUGAAGGUCUUCGGAUCGUAAAACUCUGUUAUUAGGGAAGAACAAAUGUGUAAGUAACUAUGCACGUCUUGACGGUACCUAAUCAGAAAGCCACGGCUAACUACGUG